UAGGAGACUGCCGGGGUCAACUCGGAGGAAGGUGGGGAUGACGUCAAGUCAUCAUGCCCCUUAUGUCCAGGGCUUCACGCAUGCUACAAUGGCCGGUACAAAGGGCUGCGAUCCCGUGAGGGUGAGCGAAUCCCAAAAAGCCGGUCUCAGUUCGGAUUGGGGUCUGCAACUCGACCCCAUGAAGUCGGAGUCGCUAGUAAUCGCAGAUCAGCAACGCUGCGGUGAAUACGUUCCCGGGCCUU
RNAcentral lists this ribosomal RNA (242 nucleotides) under Nocardioides sp. N. Its description in RNAcentral is "partial 16S ribosomal RNA". It matches the Rfam family "Bacterial small subunit ribosomal RNA", at positions 1142 to 1382 of the family's 1533-position model. Lineage: Bacteria; Bacillati; Actinomycetota; Actinomycetes; Propionibacteriales; Nocardioidaceae. The record is from RNAcentral.